CCUACGGGUGGCAGCAGUGAGGAAUAUUGGUCAAUGGACGAGAGUCUGAACCAGCCAAGUAGCGUGAAGGAUGACUGCCCUAUGGGUUGUAAACUUCUUUUAUAUGGGAAUAAAAUGUUCCACGUGUGGGAUUUUGUAUGUACCAUAUGAAUAAGGAUCGGCUAACUCCGUGCCAGCAGCCGCGGUAAUACGGAGGAUCCGAGCGUUAUCCGGAUUUAUUGGGUUUAAAGGGAGCGUAGGUGGAGUGUUAAGUCAGUUGUGAAAGUUUGUGGCUCAACCGUAAAAUUGCAGUUGAAACUGGCAGUCUUGAGUACAGUAGAGGUGGGCGGAAUUCGUGGUGUAGCGGUGAAAUGCUUAGAUAUCACGAAGAACUCCGAUUGCGAAGGCAGUUCACUGGACUGCAACUGACACUGAGGCUCGAAAGUGUGGGUAUCAAACAGGAUUAGAUACCCUAGUAGUC
Molecule: ribosomal RNA, 460 nt
Filed under: uncultured bacterium
Lineage: Bacteria
Description: partial 16S ribosomal RNA
Rfam family: Bacterial small subunit ribosomal RNA
Source: RNAcentral